This is a long non-coding RNA of Antechinus flavipes (yellow-footed antechinus), 797 nucleotides long. RefSeq lists it as uncharacterized. The record is from RefSeq and is a predicted model, not a curated record. The transcript is spliced from 3 exons. Lineage: Eukaryota; Metazoa; Chordata; Mammalia; Dasyuromorphia; Dasyuridae.
AUAAAGACAAAAGUGGAAAGGCGAGCCAGCUGUAGUGGGGGGGAGGUGGGACGUAGCCGCACUCCUGCCAGCUGAGGGCCCCCCGCGGAGCUUCUGGGGGAGGGCGUGGGCGUAGCUUGGCUAGGGGGACACUGGGGACAGUAGCGCAGACGGGGAAGGCCCGGCAGUCGCGUUCGCGCGUGCGUCCCACUAUACUCUCCCUCUUCUCCCCCCUCCCCCCCACCCAGACGCACGCUCCCUUCCCACGCCCCCGCCCUCCUCCUGCCCACCGGGAGAGUCGGAACCCCAGCCCUAGUCGAGCAGAGGGAGAGAGCUCAGUCGUGCGCCCCGGGGGCGGAGAGGGUGGGGAAAGGAGGGAGGAGGGGAGGUGGAGUGAGGGGGAAGGAAAGAGGGAAGCAGCAGCAAAGAAAAGGAAAGCAAAGACCACCAAAGCGAGGCCAGAGCCGAGGGAGGCGGGGGCUGGGGCUGGUAGGGAAGGGAAGGGCGCGUGAAGCCCAGAGUCGCAGCUGCCCCGGAGCGCGCUGAGGUCGCCGCCGCCGCCGCCCUGUCGCUCUGGCCGCCCGGGAUCGCUGAGCCUCCGGGGAGCGGGGGCCAGAUCCACAACAUGAGCCAAGUCUGAGAGCCACAGGCCAAAGGAGGAAGAGACCGAGCGGAGAUUGAGCACGGUGGAGAAUUGGGGAUGUGGAGGCUGAAGCCAAUGGGCUUUGUCACCCCUGCAGGGGCCAGGGCUCCCCAUUGAGGCUGGACUGAAGGGACCUUAUUUGAUGCAGAUCUGAGCCCACUUUGCUUCUCUGAGG